CGCCGCCCGGCCCCGCUAACUGGGGCCGUCUCCGGGUGACCUCGGCAGAGCGCGGCCUGAGGGACGGCCGGAGCUCGUUGGCACCUGCCGGAGCCGCUCGUGCCGACCGAGGUCUGGGCCCUUGGGGUCAGAGGGCCCGGGAGAAUGUGGAACGCAGAGGCAUUCCCUGCGGAGGGGAAGAGGGGAGGGGUUCCCUCCACAGUUGGUGCUUUCGCCCCCGCGCGGCCCGCGGUCUGCGGGAGAAACUGACAGCCUCUCUUGCAACGGGGCUGCGCGCGGCAUAUCCCCAGUUAAGAGCCAGUGCUCCUGAUGAAUAAAUCAUGAGGGUGAAAGAUAUGUAAGUACCAAAUUACAAAAUACCUUAAAAGUGGUCCACUCUGAUACCAUUCACCAGCACCAGCACCACCGUCAUCUGAUGCUUGAAACUCUCAAAUAGGUUGGAGUAUUGUUCAGCAAGAAUUUCCUCCCUUCUUCCUCCCACUUGGAUGGGAGUAUAUUUACUCACCUUUUAGAUUUUGAGCUUGACCAUGUGACCUACUUGGCCAGUGAAACAAGUGGAUGUGAAUCAAGCGAGGCAUCAACAUGUUUUACGGAGUUGCCCUUGGACUCCGGCUUCCGUGUGACUCAGCCCAGGUAGAUGUUGCCCCGUUAGCCUGGUAUCAGAACAAAGAUGAGAAAUGUGUCUGAAGCCAGCCUGCAACUGCAAACCCAUCUGCCUUGCUGCCUAAAGAAGACAUCCCAGGCCACCCACGGACCUAUAAGUGAGAAAAAUAAAUG
Hyaena hyaena (striped hyena) is the source of this 777-nucleotide long non-coding RNA. RefSeq lists it as uncharacterized. The transcript is spliced from 3 exons. The record is from RefSeq and is a predicted model, not a curated record. Lineage: Eukaryota; Metazoa; Chordata; Mammalia; Carnivora; Hyaenidae.